Molecule: RNA transcript, 6775 nt
Organism: Mus musculus (house mouse)
Lineage: Eukaryota; Metazoa; Chordata; Mammalia; Rodentia; Muridae
Gene: Grk3
Gene name: G protein-coupled receptor kinase 3
Exons: 21
Source: RefSeq, marked validated
GGAAGUCCCUGGUGCCUGAGAGGCUGGGUCAGGAGCGCGUGGCCGCGGACGGUUGGGGGCGCGCCGGGCUGGGGCGCGGAGCCGCGGAAGGGGCGGUGCGUCGGGGUCCGCGUCGGGGUCGCGCGUCGGGCGCGCCGUGGCCCCGUCGGGGCGGCGGGAGCUGCGGAGCCGCCAUGGCGGACCUGGAGGCCGUGCUGGCCGACGUCAGCUACCUGAUGGCCAUGGAGAAGAGCAAGACGGCGCCGGCCGCGCGCGCCAGCAAGAAGGUCGUCCUGCCGGAGCCCAGUAUCCGGAGUGUGAUGCAGAGGUAUCUGGCAGAGAGAAACGAAAUAACCUUUGACAAGAUUUUCAAUCAGAAAAUCGGCUUCCUACUAUUUAAAGACUUCUGCUUGAAUGAAAUUGGGGAAGCAGUGCCUCAGGUGAAAUUUUAUGAAGAGAUAAAAGAAUAUGAGAAGCUGGACAACGAAGAGGAUAGGCUACGCCGGAGCCGGCAGAUGUACGACGCCUACAUCAUGAGGGAGCUCCUAUCCAGCACACACCAAUUCUCAAAGCAAGCUGUAGAACAUGUCCAGAGCCAUCUCUCCAAGAAACAGGUGACGGCUACACUUUUCCAGCCAUACAUAGAAGAAAUCUGUGAAAGCCUUCGUGGGGAUAUUUUCCAAAAGUUUAUGGAAAGCGAUAAAUUCACUAGAUUCUGUCAGUGGAAGAACGUGGAGUUGAAUAUUCACCUGAGCAUGAACGACUUCAGUGUGCACAGGAUCAUCGGCCGAGGAGGGUUUGGGGAAGUUUAUGGCUGCAGGAAAGCAGACACCGGUAAAAUGUAUGCCAUGAAGUGCUUAGACAAGAAAAGGGUGAAGAUGAAGCAGGGGGAGACUCUGGCUUUGAACGAGAGGAUCAUGCUGUCUCUCGUUAGCACUGGGGAUUGUCCCUUUAUUGUCUGCAUGACCUACGCCUUCCACACGCCGGACAAACUCUGCUUCAUCCUGGACCUGAUGAACGGGGGCGACAUGCACUACCAUCUCUCUCAACACGGGGUGUUUUCUGAGAAGGAGAUGCGGUUUUAUGCCAGCGAGAUCAUCCUGGGCCUCGAGCACAUGCACACCUGCUUCGUAGUCUACAGAGACCUGAAGCCUGCGAACAUCCUCCUAGAUGAAUAUGGGCACGUGAGGAUAUCGGAUCUCGGCCUUGCCUGCGAUUUCUCCAAAAAGAAGCCUCAUGCCAGCGUGGGCACCCAUGGGUACAUGGCUCCCGAGGUGUUGCAGAAGGGAACGUGCUAUGACAGCAGCGCCGACUGGUUCUCCCUGGGCUGUAUGCUCUUCAAGCUUCUGCGGGGCCACAGCCCCUUCAGGCAGCAUAAAACCAAAGACAAGCAUGAGAUAGACCGAAUGACCCUGACCGUGAACGUGCAGCUUCCAGAUGCCUUCUCCCCUGAGCUGAGGUCCCUCUUAGAGGGUUUGCUCCAGCGGGACGUGAGCCAGCGGCUGGGCUGCGGAGGAGGAGGGUGGGCCAUCUUUCAGAGUCUCCACUCCAAAGGAAAAGGGCACGAGAGUUGAAGGAGCACAUCUUCUUCAAGGGCAUUGACUGGCAGCAUGUGUACUUACGGAAGACUGCUGUCUUGGGGUAUACAGGUCAGCUGAUAACUGGGCCUUACCUACUUGUUGGAUCUUGUAGUACCCGCCACCCCUAAUCCCUCCUCGGGGAGAGGUCAACGCUGCAGAUGCCUUCGAUAUCGGCUCCUUCGAUGAGGAAGACACCAAAGGCAUUAAGCUGUUGGACUGUGACCAGGACCUCUAUAAGAACUUCCCACUGGUGAUCUCCGAGCGCUGGCAGCAAGAAGUGGUGGAGACCAUCUAUGACGCCGUCAAUGCUGAUACUGAUAAAAUCGAGGCCAGGAGGAAGGCUAAAAAUAAGCAACUUGGUCAAGAGGAAGAUUACGCUAUGGGGAAGGACUGCAUCAUGCACGGGUACAUGCUGAAGCUGGGGAACCCCUUUCUCACACAGUGGCAAAGACGCUAUUUUUACCUGUUCCCCAACAGACUGGAGUGGAGAGGAGAGGGCGAGUCUCGGCAAAGUCUACUGACCAUGGAACAGAUCAUGUCUGUGGAGGAGACCCAGAUUAAAGACAGAAAGUGCAUCUUACUCAGGAUAAAGGGAGGGAAGCAAUUUGUCUUGCAAUGUGAGAGUGACCCCGAGUUUGCACAGUGGCUGAAGGAGCUGACCUGCACCUUCAAUGAGGCCCAGAGACUGCUGCGCCGUGCCCCCAAAUUCCUCAACAAACCACGGGCCGCCAUCCUGGAGUUCUCCAAGCCACCACUGUGUCACAGAAAUAGCAGCGGCCUCUGAACCACAGAGCAGCGGGGCCUGAAGGAGGGGCCCCAGCUCUUCAGCCCAGGAGUGGAACGAAGCCACGGGGAACCGUGUGGGGCUAAGACACAGUGUUUCUGAGCACUGACGGGGCUGCUCCAAGCCGAGGAGGCUCAGGACACCAGGGCGGCCUUCUGGGAGCUGGGACAUCCUCGGGGCUGUCCUAUCCACACUCGAAAUUACUGAAGAAGCAGAGGCAUUCUGCUGUGCAACUCUCUCACUUUGGUAUCCAGGGACCCAGAACGUAAAAUGGUCCUUACUUCUCAAGCUUUUAUGUCUGGCAGGGAGCAUAUCUGGGGUGGAAGCACGGUCUCUGGGACUAUGGUGGCCUGUUCUAGGCAUUGCUGUGUCCGAGUGCCUGCCUGAGGUGUAGGGGUUGAGGCUCCAGACACUGGAGGAGGGUCUCUGUAGGUCAGGGCUGACUCCUUGCUGUCCCUGAGGCGAUGAGGUAACCCUGAGUAUCGUGUGCACUUCCUUCCUCUGAUGACUUCUUUCCAGGGAUGCCCCUCGAGGAAACUUCGCGGCAUCCAUCACAGCCAUUUCUGGUGGGCACAGACUUCAAGCAGGACCUAGGUAACCCACCAGACAGUGCCCCCAAUGCAUGGCGUGCAUAAACUUGGAGUCACCAUCAAUGGUUAGGUAUGACAGAGUCCUCCUGAUCCCCCAGUUUGACCUGGGGAGCAUCUGAGGAUGUGCCCAAGAUAGACAAGAGUUGCUGCCUUGUCUUUCAGUAUAGCUUAUAAUGAUCUCACACUGGUGGGUGACAGUGUCCAGCGGUCGGUCCCCUAUGCGCCCUGGCAUGCCCCAUACCCUCUGUCACUAAUGCACUGUGCGCUGAGUUAUUCUGAUGGGGGCAGCAGUUUGCCCAGCCCCCUUCCCCUUAAAAGUGGGUUUCUCUGCUGCUGCCUGGCCCCAUGUCACACAAUGAGAAGUCCUGCAAGGUCUCGGUGGACUUGUCCAAUUCCUGAGGCCUUGGGGGCGGGGGCAGUAUGGUAGUGUUACUGGGUCUCUAGAUGAAGUCCCGAGCACAUAACCUGACAGCAGAAUUCUUUGUGUUCUGUCCUGGAUCUUCCUGACAGUCCCCAGUGUGUAUUAUGUUCUUGUGCUGGGGAAAAUGAGGUGUUUAUUUAUUGAUAUCUAUGGGGUUUUUUUUUUAAUUGCAACUACCUUUUGAGAAUUUGGAAGAUAAUUUACUGAGAGGGUCCAUUACUCGGCAGGUGCAUGAGGGACCUGUGAGACUCAGGGCCUGUCUCACCGCACAUGAAUUCUGGGUUCAUGAUCACGCACAGGGCCGCUGUUCACUGCCUCCAGGGUGGGAAUGUGGCGUCACCUGGCAGGGACACCCUGCUUGCUUAAAAGACUAAUAUUCAGAUUCUUCUACUUCUACUACUACUACUACUACUACUACUACUACUACUACUACUACUACUACUACACACACACACACUUAAGCGUUGUGGUUACUGUGUAGGCAUGGUUAGUAUGGACAGCUCACACAUGCUCAGUCAGACCUGCAGGGAGGGGUAGGAGCUGUAUCUCUGGUCUCUUUAGCACAUAUAGAGACCUCCCCCCACCCCUUCCACAUUGGGAGGGAACUUGACCCCAGCAGGUGCUGGGCUAGCUGUAACAGUCUCUUAUCGGGGUUAUAGCUAUACCAAAGUCUUUCAAGAUGGCACAGGAUCAUGGGAUCCUGCACCUGCACUAAAUCACGCCAGACUGGCACAAAUAUCAUGUGUUAUUAUUGGCCAAGUUAAUUUUAAGGCCCCUUUCCUUUUAGAAAAAGAAGUGUGUGUGGGUGUGUGUAUGGUGGGGUCUCCUGCCCUCAACCCCAUUUCCCUCGGGGACAGGAAUGAGAGAGAGUGCAGAUGGCCUCUGGCAUAGUCCUAAAGAUUCAUAUAUGGGCUGGUGGUGGAUCUGCUAGCGCCAUCUCAAAGGCCAUCUUUCCACCCUGGCAUGUGGCUAGGGUGUGUCCUGGAUCCAUAGGGUGGGAGGAGGAGCCAGAUGGGUUUAUGAUACAUGGCUGUUUGAGAGUUCCCAUCAUGCAGGCAAGUCCCUAGAUGCCUCUUGUACUCAGACUGUUAACAGGGCGAGUCAUGAGUACUAGUGACCUGGGUUUCUGGCCUGGAUCACUUAUCAUGAUGGAGGAUGUUCCACUUAUUGCUGUUUUUACACAGCUAUACUCUACAUAGGCGUGGUUUCAUAAGGCAAGAAUCAAUGCACAAAGUCCAAGAAUAUCAGAUAAUUUUAGAGCCACUAUGUGACACACACCAAAUUAAAACCUUUGGCAAGCCCCAGUUUGUUUAUUAUUUAUUUUAAUCUAAACUACCCUCUUGUCCUUAGGGCUCCCUGCUUUUCCUCUGGGUCAUAAUUAAAUGUGUGGGUUUUUUGUUUUUGUUUUUGUUUUUUGUUUUUGUUUUUAAACAAAGCCUGUGGAAAUUGUCACACUGUAGUGGUUGACAGAGGAACCUGUCUUGCUACUGAUACUCAAGUGUGCACAUUGAAAGGCCCAUUGGCUGACAUUACAAACUGUCCAUGUAAAACCAGCAAUGAAGGAUGGAUGGUGACCUACAGGGGAAAGACACUGCAGGUUCACAAGCCCAGCCUUGAUUGGCAGAGGCAGGAGGCUUAUGAGUUUGAGGCUAGCCUGGCCUACAUGGCAAGUCUCUGCCUCCAGAACACCAAGGGCUAUGGCAGUAGCUCUGGGCCAAGGUCUUGCCUUACAUCUCCAAGAUUCUGGGUUUAAUUCCCAGAGGGUGUGGACAGCGGGCAGCAGACUGUUAGCCAACUAAUAAGAUUUAUCUCUAGUGGCCGCCUUGACCUUGGCUAUGUGUCUGUGAGAAGCAGCUGUUCUGAGGCCCCACUAGCCAGGAUUGUUCACCAGUGGUCAGUGUGACAGAGAGGCAGAGCAACUCGGUACAGGAACUCACCGUUUCAGUGGUAGGGUAAGGACAGAGGGAGAAGGCUUGGUUGGCUGAUGGAAGCCACACACUUGGCAUGAUGACCCACCAAGGAGGGAAUGAGGGGAGCUCAAGGGACACGCCCUCAGAAUCCCCCAAGGAUUUUUGCAAGACUUGCUUCGUUCCUGAGGCCGAGUUGCCCCGUCAUGAAGGUGCCGCCACGUGUUCUUCUAUGGACAUUCCCAGGAAGGUCCCUCAUCAGUGGUACAUCCCCGGACACUGAGUCUGUCACCUGAGACUGUGGCUGUGUCGCCCAGGCAGUGUGAGGCUGUGACCUAGUCACUGUCCAUGAAUGGGCUGUGGAGGGGUGCGUGUCCAACUUAGAUGUGGUGAACCUCAGAAUGGCAUCACCGCCUUCCUACAUGUUUGAUUCCACUUCUACUUGGAACUUCCAUAAUUUAAAUUUAAAAAAAAAAAUCGUUUCUCUUCCUAAGUGAGGUUUACUCGAAAGUCUCAAUUGCUCACAUUCAUGUUAAUAGGACCUCUUGCUUUAACUUCAUUGGUUGGUUCAAGGCCUCUUUUCCUUUAUUUGUUGCUAUGGGAAUGAAGAAGGAUGAGCCCAAAGCCUCUUCUCCAUUCUUGGUGGACAUUAGCAUUUUCUCUGUUGGUUGCUUUUGUCAACUUAGACAAAUAAGAGAGAACGCAGCACAGCACCUCAGACUGGCAGCCCCAGGAUUCAGGACACUGAGACAGGAGAAUGAUAAGUCCUGGGACGUCCUGGGCUACAGCUACAGGGGAAACCCUGCCUUAGGAACAAAUCAACUAACAGACGGAGUUGUUUCCUGACACAGGUGUGAACACUCCUACAAGCCACCCGAAGGUGCCAUGUUCCCAAAGUGGGAAACCACGCACUUUAAAUGGCCUUCAAUUGAAAAGCAGCCACAGAGACUUGGUUCGAAAUGUUCGCCUUUCAUGAAGGACAGAAGUCGUUACAGCUAAUUCAAAUCCAUAGCGUAGAGUUAGGUCUCGGCUUCUAAUAGUCUGAGUCCUUCCAGGAAACAGAAACCUAUGCCAUCCCUUUUUAUUUUGCCCUAAAUGUAAAACAUCUUUGACAGCAGCUUGGGAGUGGAGCCAUCAUUCUGAUUAUCAACUGUGAUUUUUUUUUCCCUCCAUUUCCUUGGAUUUUUCACCUGCCCUGUGGUUAUAUGUAUUGUAUGUGGUUUAUAAAUUCAACACUGGCUUUUUUUUAGUUCUGUUAUUAAAUUAUAUUUUUCUAUGUUCUAAGUAAUAGCAGAUCUGGCUUCUUCUGGUAACAGAGAUGGAUGGACCUGUAACUAGGAGACAAGAGUUCUAUUUUAGCACAAAAGCAUUUUAUAUUAUUUAUUGAAUCCGUAUGUGCGUUCCCAUGGAAACCAUCUGUAUUUCUGCUUCUUGUGAUCUGUAUAGUUUGUUAUUUAAAGAGAGAUGGCAGCCUUUUGUGUUGCUGAAACAAUAAAACCAAGCUCCUACAAGCA